UCCUAUCACUCAAAGCAAACGCUCCCUAAAUUAUAUUUUCCAAAGCAUUCUUCCCAGCCAACUCUUGUGCAGAAUGAGUAAAAGCAAAAGGACAUUUCAGCAAGACAAUAACAGGCUUUAGCUGCUCAAAGGAAAACUCUACUAAAUCCCAAGAAUCCAAUUUAGCUAUUGUUAUAACCGGGUACACGAUCGAGAUAUUACAAAAUAAAUAUUUUGAGAAAUUACAACUCAAAAUAAUUGAAAAUAUUACAAUGUAAAUAAUUUGAGAAAUUACAACUCAAAUAAUUUGAUACAACUGAAAUACACUGUAUAAAUAAAUUAUACGUAUAAAUAAAGUCGAGUCGAGAUGAAUCUCUUCCCGCAAGAAGAUUAUCGCCCCGGUAGUGCUCUUCGGUUUGGCGUAUCUUCCCCAAAGGUAAAACGACUACGUCUCGUCGGAUGUAGCACCACAAUCCGGCNNNNNNNNNNNNNNNNNNNNNNNNNNNNNNNNNNNNNNNNNNNNNNNNGGUAAAACGACUACGUCUCGUCGGAUGUAGCACCACAAUCCGGCGAGCUCCGGCGAACUAAAAAGGAUCAAGAACUGAGCACAAGUGUUUGCAGAGAGAGUUGUUUGUAAAUGGCAGAAUGCAGGUAUUUUUUGUAGUGUUCUUCUGCAUGCUCUCCAUAGGCCUAUUUAUAGGCAUGUGGUGAGUAUGAAUUCAAUUCAUUGAAUUCAACUCCGGUGGCAGGAAGCUGUAAACGUUGAAGAGGUGGCCGGUGGGCGCAGCCAUUGAAGAAAACUUAGCUGCAAAAUUGAAUACGCAUGCAGAAGUCGUAGCAUGCGUUCUUCUGCUGCUGCUUCUUUUUUCUGCUGCUGCAUGUUGAUGUGUGGGCUGGGUUGCUGCUGAAGUGGGCUGGGCUUGGGAAUUAAAUUCUGUUGGGCCAAGAAAAUAAUUCUGUUGGGCCAAAAAUUAAAAAGCCCAAUGAAGUUGGUCCAAAAAAAAGUUUGGGCCCCAAACACCACCCCAAAGCACCAAUUGCCAAGAUCCAAGUCCUUGGCCGCGGCCCGUACCCGACCCGCCCGUCCGGCGGCGGCGGCGACGACGUCGUCGUCCGUCCGUCCGAUCGAUCGAUCGUCGUCGGCGGCGGCGCGCGUGUGUGUGUGCGCGCGAGGCUAGUACUUAGAUCAAGCCCACUAGCAAGCCCACAAGUCAAUUUAUCAACUCCAUGUGCUUUGCUAUUCUUAUACAUGAAAAACAUCUCUAUGUUUUCCAAUGUGGGAUAACAUAGCAUAAAUGUUAUUUUCCCUCUUCAACAUCCAAACUUUGACAUACAAUAUCUCACUCAUCGGAAAUCGGUUUUGAGACUUCAAGUAUAUCACGUUGAUCUACUCGAGAUGUAGAUUAACAUCCAAUCAUUAUUUUAAUUAAAUAAUAAAUAUUUAAUUAAAUAAUAAUUUCCAGAUAUGGCAUUAAAACCAUAUUUCCAACAAUCCCCCACAUGAGUGAGAAAUCAGUAUGCGAAAGUAUGCAAACACUUAGCUCAGUCCUCUUAAGAUACAACAUUGCAUUUGGAAAGGUAGCUUGUGGCUUUGAACCUGCCAUAGUCAAUAUUAUCGAGUAUACCGGCGGCCUAGUGGAUUGUGUUCCUUGAACUAGUCCUCCUCGGUGUAUACUUAGUCAACAAUAUUGACACAAUAUUGCUUCAAUCCUUAUUCGUUCUCACGUUUGUGUCCAUUACAGGCCUUGGAACACCUCUUUGGAUUCAUAAGUGUUUCAAUCGAAGCGGCCCCACUUCACACUUACAUAGGUGACUCUUAACUCAAGUAUCCUGCUAUACUUGUCCUCUUCGAGGAGUUCUAGAGUCAUUAAAAGUCAAAGACUUAACCUCACCACGUGCAGGUUUCCGAACACUCACUGUUCUACAAGUAAUAGGCAAUUCGAGUGUUCAACACACGGAUUUUCAUAGCUUAGUUGUCCCAUUGAACCAAGUUCUUGGGAUCCUCCAGUCAUCAUGGUUGGGUUGCCACUAUGAUUAUCCUUAAUUUGUGGACUUCAAACCCAUUCCCCCUAACAGUUUAUACAUCUGAUCUCGAUGGAUACUUUUUGUCAAAGGAUCCGCUAUGUUAUCAAUUGAUCUUAUAUAAUCAAUUGUGAUAACUCCACUAGUGAUCAGAUGUCUCACGGUAUUAUGACGUCGACGAAUAUGUCUCGACUUACCGUUAUACAAAUGGUUUUGUGCUCGUCCGAUAGCAGCUUGACUAUCACAAUGAAUUAUCACGGACGACACAGGUUUCGACCAACAUGGAAUAUCCUCGAGGAAAUUUCUAAGCCACUCGGCUUCUUCACCAGCUUUAUCCAAAGCUAUGAAUUCUGAUUCCAUGGUCGAUCUAGCAAUACAUGUUUGCUUCUUGGAUUUCCAAGACACAGCACCACCCCCCACAGUGAAUACAUAACCGCUCGUUGAAAACGAGUCUUUGGCAUCAGAUAUCCAAUUUGCAUCACAGUACCCUUCAAGUACAGAGGGUUCCCUAGUAUAAUGAAUCGCAUAGUUUUGAGUAUAUUUCAAAUAUCUCAAAACCCUUUCAAGAGCUUUCCAAUGUUCAUUACUAGGGUUAGCUGUAAAGCUGCCCAACUUGUUGACCGAGCAUGCUAUAUCGGGACGAGUGCAAUUUGUUAGAUACAACAAGCUCCCAAUAAUCUUCGCAUAUUCUAUCGCGUCAACAGGUUCUCCCUUGUGUACACUCAAAUGCACACUAGGUUCCCAUGGUGUCUUAGCUAUUGGCUUGUCAAAAGCGUUGAAUUUCUUUAACACUUUCUCAACGUAGUGAGAUUGUGUUAUAGUAAUACCAUCAGGUCUUCUUAGAAUUUUAAUUCCAAGGAUAACAUCAGCUAAGCCCAUAUCUUUCAUGCUAAAAUUUUUACUUAGCAUGCCUUUGGUUUCUUGAAUCACUCGGGAAUUACUUCCCAUGAUGAGCAUGUCAUCUACAUAAAGACAAACAAUAACAUAUCCGUUAUUAGAAUUCUUAAUGUAGACACAUUUAUCGCACUCAUUGAUUCUGAAUCCAUUUGACAACAUUACACUGUCAAAUUUUAAAUGCCAUUGAAGCGGUGCUUGCUUCAACCCAUAUAAAGACCUUUGAAGUUUGCAUACUUUGUGCUCUUGCCCAGGUACUACAAACCCUUCAGGUUGCUUCAUAUAUAUUUCAUCUUCCAACUCGCCAUACAAGAACGCAGUUUUCACAUCCAUUUGGUGAAUCUCGAGAUUGUGCAAGGCAGCAAUAGCGAGAAGCAUCCGAAUAGAUGUUAGUCUGGUCACAGGUGAAUAGGUAUCGAAGAAAUCGUACCCUUCUUUCUGCCUGAAACCUUGAACGACAAGUCGGGCUUUGUACUUAUCUAUAGUACCAUCAGAUUUGUACUUCUUCUUUAGGAUCCAUUUGCAUCCUAAAGCUUUACUUCCAGGUGGUAGAUCCACUAACACCCAAGUAUGAUUCUGCAUAAUGGAAUCAAUCUCAAUAUCGAUGGCUUCUUUCCAGAGAGCUGCAUCUGAGCCAGACAUAGCUUCUUUAAUCGUCACCGGUUCGCCAUCUAGCAUCAAGACAACAUAAUCCGGUCCAUAGACAUUAGCUUUUCUAACUCGUUCCCCACGUCUCGGUUCUACAUCCAUAGGUUUAGACCUUGGUCUUUUCCUAUUAGGUGGUACAUGAUUAGAACCCGUGGCAUCAUCUACUUGAGUAGAAUUACUAGCUACUUCCAUAGGUUUAGAACCUGUAGCAUCACCAUCAACUCCAUCAUUAGAGUUCGAUGUACCUUUAUCCUUGUUAGGAUAGAUAUUUUCAAAGAAUAUAGCAUUCCUUGAUUCUAUCGUUGUCCCAACAUGUAUAUCAGGUAUCUCCGAUCUGUGCACUAUAAAACGAUAGGCACUGCUAUUAAGUGCAUGACCAAUGAAGAUACAAUCCACCGUUUUAGGUCCUAUUGUAACUUGCUUUGGUAAAGGCACUUCUACCUUGGCUAAACACCCCCACACUUUGAGGUAUUUAUACGAAGGUUUCCUUCCUUUCCAUAGCUCAUAGGGAGUUACAUCUUUCCCUUUGAGUGGAAUCUUGUUCAAGAUAUAGUUGGCCGUUAAGACAGCUUCCCCCCACAUGUUCUGGGGUAAUCCUGAACUAAUCAACAAGGCAUUCAUCAUCUCCUUAAGAGUUCGAUUCUUGCGUUCAGCAACGCCGUUAGAUUGUGGUGAAUAAGGAGCCGUCGUUUGAUGGAUUAUACCACUUUCGUUGCAUAAUUCAGCAAACGGAGCUACAUAUUCUCCACCUCUAUCACUUCGAACCAUCUUAAUUCGACAUCCAAGUUGAUUCUCGGCUUCAUUUUUGAAGUUUCUAAAAGCUUCAAUAGCCUCAUCUUUACUUUUCAAUAAGUAAAGGUAACAAUACUUUGUGCAAUCGUCUAUAAAGGUGAUAAAGUACUUCUUGCCACCUCUAGUUUGCACGAACUUUAAAUCACAAACAUCGGUGUGAAUAAGUUCCAAUGGUUGAGUGCUCCUUUUUACCGAUUUAAACGGUAACUUAGCCAUUUUGGCUUCAACACAAACUUCACAUUUUUCUUGUGAGUUGUAUUCAUCAACUUUUAGUAAAUUCAUUUUUACUAAUCUCUUUAUAGCAUUUAGAUUAACAUGUCCAAGUCUACAAUGCCAUAAAUCAGAACACUCAAUCAAGUAAGCAGAAGAAGUUGAUGCAUCUUUAUUGAUUUUAGCCUUGGCAGGCUUACAAGCUCUUACACCAAGUUUGAAAAGUCCUUCGGAGGCAUAGCCUUUCCCUAGGAACUUUCCCCACUUGCGUAUUACAACAUAGUCAGAUUUAGAAAACAAUUCAAAAUCCUUAUUCGUAAGCCUAAAGCCCGAAAUUAAAUUCUUUCGGACAGUUGGAACGUGUAAUACGUCUUUCAAUGUGAUCUCCACGCCCGACGUGAGUUGAAGAAUCACAUCUCCCAUGCCAAGGACUUGGGAUGUCCGCUCGCUAGCCUCCAUUAUCGUUUUGUUUUCCACUUCCUUGUAGUUGUGGAACAACUCACGAUUUAUGCAUAUAUGGACGGUAGCGCCGGUAUCCACGAACCAAGCGUUCGGGUUGUCCACAUGAUUCACCUCGGAGAUCAUGGCAGCAAAGUCAUCGUGGUUCCAAUCGUCGAAGUCCUUCUCGACGUUGUUCACGUUGCUCUUUGCCUUCUUCCGCUUUGGCUUGCGGCAAUCCUUAGCCAUGUGACCUUGUUUGUCACAAUUAAAACAUACACCAUCAAACUUUGAUGGUUGACUACCGCCUUGUUUCCCUUUACCCUUAUUAUUAGGGUUAGGGCGACCACGUUUAUUGGAGGGACCGCCUUUCUCGGUGAGAUUGGCCUUUGCCUCCAUCGGAGCUUUUCCCUUUUGAUCACGACUUCUCACGUGAUCCUCCAUUUGAAGCUUGGAUAUUAAUAUCGGCACGGACAUCUCCGAGCGCUCAUGCUUCAAAAGGUUUUGAAAUUUCCUCCAACUAGGAGGUAAUUUCUCUAUGAUGAUUGCAACGAGCAAUGCAUCCGCCAAGGGCAUCCCUUCGGCUUGAACCUCAUGUGAAAGAUUUUGGAACUCUUCCACUUGGUCCAUCAAUGGCCGGGAGUCGACCAUUUUGUAUUCCAACCAUUUGGCGACAAUAUACUUGGUAGUAUUUGCCUUGUCUACUUGAUAUUUCAAAUCAAGGGCCUCCCACAAUUGUUUCGCGGUUUCAUGAACCUUGAAAACACGGUAGAGCCGUUCGUCCAGAGACAUGAGAACGGUGUUACGGCACAAGUAGUCGCCGCGGCACCAGUUCAAAUAUCCGGCACGAAUUUCUUGGCUCGUCUCCCCUUCACUCGGGGUUGGAGGUUUAUCCUCCAUUAAGAAUCCGGCAAACCCCACGGUUGUGAGGUAGAAUAGCAUCUUUUCUUGCCAAUAUUUAAAAUUCUUGCCCGAGAACGUUGAUGGUUUCUCGGCAAGACCAAUAGUUCUAGAUGUUUGCAAUGGGGCCAUGGUUGACGUUGAAGCCCCCGUUGAUGCAAACGAGGAAAACAUUGACGACGUAGUUGAACCGAUGGUUGCAGAGGUGGUGGAGCCGUCCAUAUUGACGUCGGUGUGAGCCAUUUCUCGAACGUGUAUCAACGGCAGAGAAAUAAUCUUCUUGCGAUUGUUAGAACCGGGUACACGAUCGAGAUAUUACAAAAUAAAUAUUUUGAGAUAUUACAACUCAAAAUAAUUGAAAAUAUUACAAAGUAAAUAAUUUGAGAAAUUACAACUCAAAUAAUUUGAUACAACUGAAAUACACUGUAUAAAUAAAUUAUACGUAUAAACUAAGUCGAGUCGAGAUGAAUCUCUUCCCGCAAGAAGAUUAUCGCCCCGGUAGUGCUCUUCGGUUUGGCGUAUCUUCCCCAAAGGUAAAAUGACUUCGUCUCGUCGGAUGUAGCACCACAAUCCGGCGAGCUCCGGCGAACUAAAUAGGAUCAAGAACUGAGCACAAGUGUUGUGCAGAGAGUGAGUGUGUAGGAAUGGCAGAAUGCAGUAUUUGUUGGUGUUGUUUGUUUGUUGUUCUGCAUGCUCUCCACAAGCCUAUUUAUAGGCAUGUAGUAAGUAUGAAUUCAAUACAUUGAAUUCAACUCCGACGGCUG
RNAcentral lists this long non-coding RNA (6647 nucleotides) under Salvia miltiorrhiza (redroot sage). RNAcentral's name for it is "long non-coding RNA (SMIL_LNC001988)". The record is from RNAcentral. Lineage: Eukaryota; Viridiplantae; Streptophyta; Magnoliopsida; Lamiales; Lamiaceae.